UUAGUGAACAUAGUUUAACAAAAACCCUAGCCUGUGAUUCUAGAAAGGGGGACUAAUCCUCCCCUGUUCACC
This 72-nucleotide transfer RNA is filed under the name Neobatrachus kunapalari. RNAcentral describes it as "tRNA-His". The record is from RNAcentral. Lineage: Eukaryota; Metazoa; Chordata; Amphibia; Anura; Limnodynastidae.